UACGUAGGGGGCAAGCGUUGUCCGGAUUUACUGGGCGUAAAGAGCGUGUAGGCGGCCAAGCAGGUCCGUUGUGAAAACUGGAGGCUUAACCUCCAGACGUCGACGGAAACCGCGCGGCUAGAGUCCGGAAGAGGAGAGUGGAAUUCCUGGUGUAGCGGUGAAAUGCGCAGAUAUCAGGAAGAACACCCGUGGCUAAGGCGGUUCUCUAGUACGGUACUGACGCUGAGACGCGAAAGCGUGGGGAGCGAACAGG
Molecule: ribosomal RNA, 253 nt
Filed under: uncultured bacterium
Lineage: Bacteria
Description: partial 16S ribosomal RNA
Rfam family: Bacterial small subunit ribosomal RNA
Source: RNAcentral